CUUACCCAUGUCUUUUGAGUACCUUCGUUUCCUCGGCGGGUUCGCCCGCCGAUUGGACAAUUUAAACCAUUUGCAGUUGCAAUCAGCGUCUGAAAAAACAUAAUAGUUACAACUUUCAACAACGGAUCUCUUGGUUCUGGCAUCGAUGAAGAACGCAGCGAAAUGCGAUAAGUAGUGUGAAUUGCAGAAUUCAGUGAAUCAUCGAAUCUUUGAACGCACAUUGCGCCCCUUGGUAUUCCAUGGGGCAUGCCUGUUCGAGCGUCAUUUGUACCUUCAAGCUCUGCUUGGUGUUGGGUGUUUGUCUCGCCUCUGCGCGUAGACUCGCCUCAAAACAAUUGGCAGCCGGCGUAUUGAUUUCGGAGCGCAGUACAUCUCGCGCUUUGCAUUCAGAACGACGACGUCCAAAAG
This 408-nucleotide ribosomal RNA is filed under the name uncultured Peyronellaea. Its description in RNAcentral is "eukaryotic LSU rRNA". The stretch from base 111 to 264 matches the Rfam family "5.8S ribosomal RNA". The record is from RNAcentral. Lineage: Eukaryota; Fungi; Ascomycota; Dothideomycetes; Pleosporales; Didymellaceae.